CCGACCCUGCCCUGUGCGUGAUAAGCCUUUUUAAACCCACAUUUAUAAUAAGGGACGCUCAACUCUUUCGGUGAAUUGCAGGCCUCCCGGGGCGCGCACCGCGCGUUUUGGACGUUGGAAGCAGAGAACCCGAAAGGCGGCGACCCACCUGCCUAUUUGUGCAGGUUAUAAAUGGGCUUACACGGCUCGGCGGGGUUAUU
This 200-nucleotide non-coding RNA is filed under the name Oscillospiraceae bacterium. Its description in RNAcentral is "6S RNA". It matches the Rfam family "6S / SsrS RNA". Rfam says of the family: E. coli 6S RNA was the first non coding RNA to be sequenced, but its function was unknown until recently. It consists of 184 nucleotides that fold into an extended hairpin structure with a large single-stranded internal bulge. The record is from RNAcentral. Lineage: Bacteria; Bacillati; Bacillota; Clostridia; Eubacteriales; Oscillospiraceae.